This is a long non-coding RNA of Lycium ferocissimum, 699 nucleotides long. RefSeq lists it as uncharacterized. The transcript is spliced from 2 exons. Lineage: Eukaryota; Viridiplantae; Streptophyta; Magnoliopsida; Solanales; Solanaceae. The record is from RefSeq and is a predicted model, not a curated record.
UAAUUUCUUCAUCUACUCGCAUUUGUAAAGUGUUUAUGCUUAAUGGAAUCAAUUCCAUUAACAAUAAAUAUGGAUAAAUAUGAGCGGUUAUUUUUUUUCCCUUUUGGUUCUCCAUAACUGCCCUUUCUAAUUAAUUUGUCUCACAUAUAUAAAGAGACUAUUCAACAAUACAAUUCAUUUCCAACUUUUCAUUUACAUCGUUCCAGAAUAUACCUACCAAAAGAAAUGGGUGACAAGCGGCAGUUUGGUGGACAUAGCAAGUAUGAAAUCCUCAUCAAUCCGCCCAAGAACAUGAAUGAGCGUCUUAUAGACGUCCAUUUUCUUUUGAUGGAAAUGGCUGAGAAACUAGACAAGAUUAUGGACGACCAGGCUGAGUUGAAAGCGAGGACGGAGACAUUGGAGGCGAUGGCCAGGGCUACGGUCAGAGGCAUUGGCAUAGAACUUGAUGAAGUCUUACCCCCCUCACUCCCACCUGUUCCUAAGGCUGUGUGAAUCUUUUGCCAGGGUUAGUAUAAGUAUGCUUUGGGAUUGAUGUUGUUGUUUUGGUUUGUAUUGGGGGAUAUUAAAUAUAAAAUCAUGAAAAUUUUAGUUUGUUCGCCAAAAAUUCUUUUUAUGUUAGUUGUUAUGUUAGAGAAAAUUAUAUAAACAAAAAAAUAUGAUUAUUAAUAUAAAUUACACUGCUAUGGAUUUUAUUUGAAC